UACUUAAUAAAAAAUGAGAAGAAUUUUUAGAUUUUUUUUGCAUUUUAGCCCCUCCCCCCUCGUGCAUCUGGCGCCGAUCGCAUCUGCUGCCUGCCGCCGCCCGUCCUUGUCGAGGCCACUAGAGCCCCUCGGCUGUUCCCUUCCAGGUCGCCGCCGGACUGCAGGCGGCACCGGCAACUCAUUCUUGUUGCGCCACCGCGGGCCUUGCUUCGUGCGUUUCCACGGGCGCCGCCGGCCGCGGUCGGCCUCCUGGUUGUGGGCGUCCUCCGCGUCGUGCCUGGGCUACGUGGCGGGCAACGGCUUGGCGCCGUCACGCAGCUUCGCGUCUGUGAGGCGCGGCCGAAAGGGCAGGCAGCCGCCUGCGGGCACAUCUCGUCACUACGGGCGGCGGGAGGUAUGCUUGCUCCAUGCUCGUGCAGCCCCUUCCUUGCCCAUCUUGCGAGGAUCUUGUCUCAGAUUUGAUGAACUGCAUCUGUAUCCGAGGGGAAUGUGGAGAGGCUUCAGAACGAAGCAGCGACCUCGUAAGGCUCGUUACUUGACAGGUUAGUCCGUUCAUCUGCUCUGCUCCGUUCCUACCUCUUUUUUUUUUUGGAGAAAGGGGAGCCGAUCCCCCCGGCCUCACGGAGGCUUAAACGGCGGUGCAGCGCCUCGGGUUCGAGCCCGGGCAGGUGCGCUCCCCACCCGGAGGCCGCACCAACCGAGCGCCGUUCCUACCUCUUCACCAUGGUUAGCUGGAUUUUGAUGAAAUUAAUUUGUGGUGUGUGUGUGUGUGUGUGUGUGUGUGUGUGUGUGUGUGUGUGUGUGAAGUCUGCAUUGGCAAACCACAACUACAGGUAUCUAUCAUUUGCAUUAUUGGUGACUUUCUAAGUACUGUGCAUGAAUGUCUUGUUUAUAUAGCAUGAAUGAGCAUUCAAAUCUGAAUGAGUUCAUUGCAUACUAGAACUGGUCCAUUGGAUGUGACCACUUCUUGCUUAUCACCAGCAAAUUGACGUUGGCCUAAAUUAUGUGGAAUUGUAAAUAUAAAUAGCCAGUGUGAUCUGCUUACGAAUCGGCUUAUUUUUUCCAUCCAAUAAUAUAAUACUUGCAGCCAGGUAAAUGAUAGUACUUUAAGUAGUUGUGUCUCAAUGCUAUUUUAUUUUCUUGAACUUUGCUGAAAAGCGUAAAGUAUCAGUGAUUUCAUGUUCGUUGCAGAAUUAAACUGUGCACCUUAACUGAAAACCAAAUAGCUGACAUUUUCUUGCUAUUUAAUAUUUAAUUUGCCUUCUAGGACACCACCCGCCCCCCAACCAAACAACAACAACAAUAUAGCCUUUCCCCCCAACCACACACACACAAAAAAAAUUGUUAGCUUUGUACUUGCAGAAAACACAUGACCUCCUUGUGUUAAUACUGAAUACUUAGCUAAAUCCAUGUAUAUGAGUGUUAGAUUAUGAUUCACGCUUCAUCCCUUCACAGGCGCCGUCAGCCUCCUGGUUGUGGGUGUGUGCCGCCGCUUGUGCUCGCCCCCUGACAUGACACUCGCCGUAAGUGAUCUUUGAUCAGCUUGUCAAAUUUUAAUAUGGCUUUUCCAUUUAACUAGAUAAAUCUCCUGACACUCCCAUGACACUACUCCUGAUGUAAAGACAAGUCUUGCAUUUAGCUUUCUCCCAAAUCAAAAUUUUUAUUUAAACUUUGAUCAUCAAUAAUUAAAAAUCAUAUAGAUAGGUCUGCUACAGGUCAUGGAUACUAGGCGCUACAAGGGUUGCCGAAAUCUCUUCAAACUUCAAAGACAGGACACAAAAGUUAGGAUUUCAUUUUACUGUUCCCUUUUCUUCGGAGCAUUGGUUUUGAUCAUACGUAUCUAUGUGCUCUAGAGACCCAGCAGCAUAGACAUGGCAUUGUGCCAAACAAUUCCAUCUUGCCCCAUUCUUGCAUAGAGCCAUAGUGCGAAAAGAACCAGAGUGGACACAAAGGCAACCCCGAGGAGAUGGGAUGUUCUGAUACACACGGAGCUAUAAUCAUCUAUGAAAAGUCAUGUCUACAAUCAUCCUACUGAACAGUUUGAGAGGGUGUAGGAAUUCGAGUUCUUCAUUGAUUUCCACAUCUGAACUUGGCUUUCUUUCUACUUUCUGGUACCUCUAAUGUUCUCCAGGGCCUAUGUCACUUUCAAGCUCAACAGUACCUAGGACUCGUACGACUAAAAAAUUGACCUAAGAGUCAGUCUGUUAAAGGUAACUGAGGCACGAAGGGGAGAUCUGGAAGGAUGUAGUGCGGGGGUUGCUCUGCUCUGCUCUGCUCUGCGGUGGGGCGUUCCCUGCCUGCACAAAGAAAUAGCAAGUGGUGAGACAGAUCGCAGAAGCACUUAUUACCAAGGGAGUUACAGGCGAAUUGCAGUUUCUCUGUACCUCGGAUGUGAUGCAGUUUAUUAUAGCAUCACAGAGUUGUUUACGAUGAGAAGUAUAGCCAUGAUUUGCUCUCUUAAUGACAUGCAGUUUGUGGUUCGGUAUAAGCCUUGCAAACUCAUAUGCAUCUUCCACAGGUAUGAUCUUAUCAGCUGAACCAUGAAUUGUGAAGAACCUGGAAAAAGAGUUGAUCAACAAUUGCAUGAGGACAAUUUUGUUCUAGCGCAUGCGUACACUUAGCCAAACAUGCAGGAAAUGAAGUACUUUGAGUUCUAUAAAAUGCAUGGAGAUGACAAGUUUAACAUGAUACUGUAUGUUGCCGGUUGCUUAAAAUGUAUUAGUAUGAAGGGAAAUGAUGCUUAAACUAA
Panicum virgatum (switchgrass) is the source of this 2749-nucleotide RNA transcript. RefSeq lists it as uncharacterized. The transcript has 2 exons. NCBI's taxonomy places the organism in Eukaryota, Viridiplantae, Streptophyta, Magnoliopsida, Poales, Poaceae. The record is from RefSeq and is a predicted model, not a curated record.